CCUGCCCUGCUGUUUUCACCCACCGAUUUGUCUCCACAUUCAAGUCAGGGAGAGCUAAGGAAGAGGGUAUUUGUUGUGCACUGGGUAGAACUGGCAGCGCUGGGGCAAAGGCACUCAUCAGAGGGCUAUUCUCCUGAAGAUGCACAGGUAUACAUAGGCAUACAUGUGAAAGCUGCCUUAAUGUGGACCCAGUUUGUUUCUCAAGUCUAGAUCCAUACAGAGCUGGGCAAGAAGAGUGUAUAUCAUGUGUUACAGCCAAUUCUGAUCCUCCAAAGCGGGAUGUAUCGAUCUUCCACCAUCUGUCUCAUUCUUUCCUUCUUUCUCUCGCUUACACAAAAAGAAUGGGCAAACUGAAUUUGGUUUACAGAAACCAAGAGGUUCCAAGUUUGUGUUAAUAACUUACCACUUAGAUAGCAAGUGACCAUAACCUAAUCCUCACAACGUGUCUGAGAGGCACAGCAGGAUCCCAUACUAGCACCAGCAAGUAUCUCCAACCUAGCUAGCAGAUCAAAAAGCUCGUUCUUUUUUGUAAGGCUUUGACUGAGCAAACUAAAAGCUUAGUUUUAAAAUGGUGAAAUGCCUUCAGCAGAAUGAAUAAUGUAUUUAAAGUUAAAUGCAUACUUACUGUUUUGGUGAAUAGGUCCAAAUUUAAAAAGCUCUCUAAAUGCCUAUGCUUAUGUAUAUGAUGGAAAUUAUGACUUUUUAUGAACACAAUUAUGAUUAAAUAAUUAAAAUCGUCUUUCUACCAAAGAUGCUUGACUCUAUCUUUACUUUGCCUAGUCAUUUUUUUUUCCAGUUGUGUCUCUUUUUUAACCUAGCAAAAGGGAACAGAAAAUCUUCUUCAAAAACGAAAACAUUGCUAAACUGUGUAUACUAGCAGGUGAGUUGGGGAAAACUAUAAAGGUCCUGAGAUUUUCUUGUAUUCAGUUUGAUUAGAUUUGCUGUGGCAAUAAUUUUUAAGAAGGUAGACACAAUAAUCUCUCAGUAUAAUGCACUGAAUUCAUCAAUGAUAAUUUACAUAUUAAUGUAGUUUAUCACAUAUCUAUAAUAUGUGCAGUUUACAUCUUAUGCAUGCUUUAUGUAGACAUGACUGAUAAAACUAAUUAGAACUAAAGUAUGUGAUUUAGUGUAUUUUAAAGAUGGUUGUGAAAUUAGAAAAUUGCUGUCAAUGAUCUAAUUCCAGCAUUCAAACUCAAAAUUCCCAAACCUACCUACAUAAAGAAAGAUUGCCAGAUAAGACUCUUGUCCCUUAUCCCUGAGGUAUCAAAGCAUAUCUCAAACUGUUUCAGAUUCUACCAGCUGCCUAUGCAAACUAAAUUUAAAUGAAGAACAAAUAGAGGCUUGGUUGUUUGCAUAUAUGCCUUUCAAUCCAUAGCCAACUCUUUAAAAACAUGACAUCAUCCACACUGUUGCAAACACAAAUCUCUAUUCCAUUUUACAAGGACAAGUCUUUGAUAAGAUGACUGAAGUUGAAGAACUAGUUAACAUUACCAAGAAACUGAAAUAUCAGACACUUAGGGGGAAAUAGCGAGGAGGAA
Cygnus olor (mute swan) is the source of this 1538-nucleotide long non-coding RNA. RefSeq lists it as uncharacterized. NCBI's taxonomy places the organism in Eukaryota, Metazoa, Chordata, Aves, Anseriformes, Anatidae. The record is from RefSeq and is a predicted model, not a curated record. The transcript has 2 exons.